RNAcentral lists this unclassified non-coding RNA (270 nucleotides) under Hevea brasiliensis (rubber tree). The record is from RNAcentral. Lineage: Eukaryota; Viridiplantae; Streptophyta; Magnoliopsida; Malpighiales; Euphorbiaceae.
UAAGAGGCCAUUGAAAGAGAAGCUCGAGCCAAAUGAGGCCAACGACGAAGGGAGGGGAUUCGGCCAUUAAAUAAUCCCCGGAUUGGCGGAUGUAGGAGGUCUUAAGAUCGAUGAGAAAAUCAGGGAAAAGGGUUUGAGGGAAAAUAACCUGGAAAUCGAUUAGAGGCGAUAUGAAUGCGAGAAGAAGGAAGACGAGGAAUAGUAAGACGUCGACGAGCUUGAGAAGAGCGCCCAUGUUUUCCACUGAGCUUUCUUCUCACAAUGUCCGCG